GGGGAAUUUUGGACAAUGGGCGCAAGCCUGAUCCAGCCAUGCCGCGUGCGGGAAGAAGGCCUUCGGGUUGUAAACCGCUUUUGUCAGGGAAGAAAUCUUCUGGGCUAAUACCUCGGGAGGAUGACGGUACCUGAAGAAUAAGCACCGGCUAACUACGUGCCAGCAGCCGCGGUAAUACGUAGGGUGCAAGCGUUAAUCGGAAUUACUGGGCGUAAAGCGUGCGCAGGCGGUUUUGUAAGACAGAGGUGAAAUCCCCGGGCUUAACCUGGGAACUGCCUUUGUGACUGCAAGGCUUGAGUGCGGCAGAGGGGGAUGGAAUUCCGCGUGUAGCAGUGAAAUGCGUAGAUAUGCGGAGGAACACCGAUGGCGAAGGCAAUCCCCUGGGCCUGCACUGACGCUCAUGCACGAAAGCGUGGGGAGCAAAC
RNAcentral lists this ribosomal RNA (425 nucleotides) under uncultured bacterium. RNAcentral's name for it is "bacterial SSU rRNA". It matches the Rfam family "Bacterial small subunit ribosomal RNA", at positions 356 to 773 of the family's 1533-position model. The record is from RNAcentral.